UUAAAAUUCUUGUUUUUUGGUAUUUAAAGUUCGAGAUUAAUAGGGAAUUAGGUGAGAAUCCUAAACUGUACCCGCAGCUGUAAGCUCUGCACGUUUUUACACUAAGUCACUGACUAAUCCUCGGGAAGACGUAAAAAUAAGGAGCGAGUCAGAAGACCUGCCUUUAACCGUUAUGUGCA
RNAcentral lists this non-coding RNA (179 nucleotides) under Bacteroidota bacterium. Lineage: Bacteria; Pseudomonadati; Bacteroidota. The record is from RNAcentral.